RNAcentral lists this ribosomal RNA (293 nucleotides) under uncultured eukaryote. RNAcentral's name for it is "partial 18S ribosomal RNA". It matches the Rfam family "Eukaryotic small subunit ribosomal RNA", at positions 6 to 370 of the family's 1831-position model. The record is from RNAcentral.
GGUUGAUCCUGCCAGUAGUCAUAUGCUUGUCUCAAAGAUUAAGCCAUGCAUGUGUAAGUAUGAACGAAUUCAGACUAUGAAACUGCGAAUGGCUCAUUAAACCCCGACUUCUGGAAGGGAUGCAUUUAUUAGAUAAAAGGUCGACGCGGGCUCUGCCCGUUGCUCUGAUGAUUCAUGAUAACUCGACGGAUCGCAUGGCCUUAGUGCUUGCGACGCAUCAUUCAAAUUUCUGCCCUAUCAACUUUCGAUGGUAGGAUAGUGGCCUACCUUGGUGGUAACGGGUGACGGAGAAU